RNAcentral lists this ribosomal RNA (858 nucleotides) under uncultured bacterium. RNAcentral describes it as "bacterial SSU rRNA". It matches the Rfam family "Bacterial small subunit ribosomal RNA", at positions 74 to 941 of the family's 1533-position model. The record is from RNAcentral.
GCUUGCUUUUUUGCUGACGACCGGCGCACGGGUGCGUAACGCGUAUACAAUCUGCCUUGUACUGGGGGAUAGCCUUUAGAAAUGAAGAUUAAUACCCCAUAGUAUGUAGAGUUCGCAUGGACCUUACAUUAAAGGUUACGGUACAAGAUGAGUAUGCGUCCUAUUAGCUAGAUGGAGUGGUAACGGCACCCCAUGGCAACGAUAGGUAGGGGCCCUGAGAGGGGGAUCCCCCACACUGGUACUGAGACACGGACCAGACUCCUACGGGAGGCAGCAGUGAGGAAUAUUGGACAAUGGAGGCAACUCUGAUCCAGCCAUGCCGCGUGCAGGAAGACUGCCCUAUGGGUUGUAAACUGCUUUUAUACGGGAAGAAACCACUCUACGUGUAGAGUCUUGACGGUACCGUAAGAAUAAGGAUCGGCUAACUCCGUGCCAGCAGCCGCGGUAAUACGGAGGAUCCAAGCGUUAUCCGGAAUCAUUGGGUUUAAAGGGUCCGUAGGUGGACUGGUCAGUCAGAGGUGAAAUCCUGCAGCUUAACUGUAGAACUGCCUUUGAUACUGCUAGUCUUGAAUCAUUAUGAAGUGGUUAGAAUAUGUAGUGUAGCGGUGAAAUGCAUAGAUAUUACAUAGAAUACCAAUUGCGAAGGCAGAUCACUAAUAAUGUAUUGACACUGAUGGACGAAAGCGUAGGUAGCGAACGGGAUUAGAUACCCCGGUAGUCUACGCCGUAACGAUGGAUACUAGCUGUUGGGUUUCGGCUCAGUGGCUAAGCGAAAGUGAUAAGUAUCCCACCUGGGGAGUACGUUCGCAAGAAUGAAACUCAAGGAAUUGACGGGGCCCGCACAAGCGGUGGAGCAUG